Molecule: ribosomal RNA, 254 nt
Filed under: uncultured bacterium
Lineage: Bacteria
Description: partial 16S ribosomal RNA
Rfam family: Bacterial small subunit ribosomal RNA
Source: RNAcentral
UACGUAGGGUGCGAGCGUUGUCCGGAAUUAUUGGGCGUAAAGAGCUCGUAGGCGGUGUGUCACGUCGGCCGUGAAAACCUGGGGCUUAACUCUGGGCGUGCGGUCGAUACGGGCAUCACUAGAGUUCGGCAGGGGAGACUGGAAUUCCUGGUGUAGCGGUGAAAUGCGCAGAUAUCAGGAGGAACACCGGUGGCGAAGGCGGCUCUCUGGAACGCAACUGACGCUGAGACGCGAAAGCGUGGGGAGCAAACAGG